GAUGAACGCUGGCGGCGUGCCUAAUACAUGCAAGUCGAGCGAACAGAUGAGGAGCUUGCUCCUCUGACGUUAGCGGCGGACGGGUGAGUAACACGUGGAUAACCUACCUAUAAGACUGGGAUAACUUCGGGAAACCGGAGCUAAUACCGGAUAAUAUAUUGAACCGCAUGGUUCAAUAGUGAAAGACGGUUUUGCUGUCAAUUAUAGAUGGAUCCGCGCCGCAUUAGCUAGUUGGUAAGGUAACGGCUUACCAAGGCGACGAUGCGUAGCCGACCUGAGAGGGUGAUCGGCCACACUGGAACUGAGACACGGUCCAGACUCCUACGGGAGGCAGCAGUAGGGAAUCUUCCGCAAUGGGCGAAAGCCUGACGGAGCAACGCCGCGUGAGUGAUGAAGGUCUUCGGAUCGUAAAACUCUGUUAUUAGGGAAGAACAAAUGUGUAAGUAACUAUGCACGUCUUGACGGUACCUAAUCAGAAAGCCACGGCUAACUACGUG
This 497-nucleotide ribosomal RNA is filed under the name uncultured bacterium. RNAcentral's name for it is "partial 16S ribosomal RNA". It matches the Rfam family "Bacterial small subunit ribosomal RNA", at positions 28 to 507 of the family's 1533-position model. The record is from RNAcentral.